RNAcentral lists this transfer RNA (75 nucleotides) under Levilactobacillus zymae. RNAcentral's name for it is "tRNA-Asn(gtt)". It matches the Rfam family "tRNA". From Rfam's summary of the family: Transfer RNA (tRNA) molecules are approximately 80 nucleotides in length. Their secondary structure includes four short double-helical elements and three loops (D, anti-codon, and T loops). Lineage: Bacteria; Bacillati; Bacillota; Bacilli; Lactobacillales; Lactobacillaceae. The record is from RNAcentral.
UGUGUCUUUAGCUCAGUCGGUAGAGCGUCGGCCUGUUAAGCCGGUUGUCGUUGGUUCGAGCCCAACAAGACACGU